UAUGGGAAGUUAGGACUGUUACUUUGAAAAAAUUAGAGUGUUUAAAGCAGGCUUUAGCUUGAAUACAUUAGCAUGGAAUAAUGAAAUAGGACGUUCGAACCUAUUUUAUUGGUUUCUAGGAUCAACGUAAUGAUUAAUAGGGAUAGUUGGGGGCAUUAGUAUUCAAUUGUCAGAGGUGAAAUUCUUGGAUUUAUUGAAGACUAACUACUGCGAAAGCAUUUGCCAAGGAUGUUUUCAUUAAUCAAGAACGAAAGUUAGGGGAUCGAAGACGAUCAGAUACCGUCGUAGUCUUAACCAUAAACUAUGCCGACUAGGGAUCGGAUGAUGUUAAUUUUUAAUGACUCAUUCGGCGCCUUACG
This 359-nucleotide ribosomal RNA is filed under the name uncultured Glomus. RNAcentral describes it as "SSU rRNA". It matches the Rfam family "Eukaryotic small subunit ribosomal RNA", at positions 734 to 1092 of the family's 1831-position model. The record is from RNAcentral. Lineage: Eukaryota; Fungi; Glomeromycota; Glomeromycetes; Glomerales; Glomeraceae.